Transfer RNA from Felis catus (domestic cat), 84 nucleotides. It matches the Rfam family "tRNA". From Rfam's summary of the family: Transfer RNA (tRNA) molecules are approximately 80 nucleotides in length. Their secondary structure includes four short double-helical elements and three loops (D, anti-codon, and T loops). Further hydrogen bonds mediate the characteristic L-shaped molecular structure. tRNAs have two regions of fundamental functional importance: the anti-codon, which is responsible for specific mRNA codon recognition, and the 3' end, to which the tRNAs corresponding amino acid is attached (by aminoacyl-tRNA synthetases). tRNAs cope with the degeneracy of the genetic code in two manners: having more than one tRNA (with a specific anti-codon) for a particular amino acid; and 'wobble' base-pairing, i.e. permitting non-standard base-pairing at the 3rd anti-codon position. The record is from Rfam. NCBI's taxonomy places the organism in Eukaryota, Metazoa, Chordata, Mammalia, Carnivora, Felidae.
GCCUGGGGGGCUCAGUCAGUUGAGCGUCUGACUUUGGCUCAGGUCACGAUCUCCCGUUCGUGGGUUCGAGCCCCGCGUCGGGCU